GACGAACGCUGGCGGCGUGCUUAACACAUGCAAGUCGAACGGAAAUGCCCUGCUUUUGUGGGGUGCUCGAGUGGCGAACGGGUGAGUAACACGUGAGUAACCUGCCCUUGACUUUGGGAUAACUUCAGGAAACUGGGGCUAAUACCGGAUAGGAGCUCCUGCUGCAUGGUGGGGGUUGGAAAGUUUCGGCGGUUGGGGAUGGACUCGCGGCUUAUCAGCUUGUUGGUGGGGUAGUGGCUUACCAAGGCUUUGACGGGUGGCCGGCCUGAGAGGGUGACCGGCCACAGUGGGACUGAGAUACGGCACAGACUCCUACGGGAGGCAGCAGUGGGGAAUAUGGCACAAUGGGCGGAAGCCUGAUGCAGCAACGCCGAGUGCGGGAUGACGGACUUCGGGUUGUAAACCGCUUUCGCCUGUGACGAAGCGUGAGUGAAGGUAAUGGGUAAAGAAGCACCGGCUAACUACGUG
Molecule: ribosomal RNA, 468 nt
Filed under: uncultured bacterium
Lineage: Bacteria
Description: partial 16S ribosomal RNA
Rfam family: Bacterial small subunit ribosomal RNA
Source: RNAcentral